RNAcentral lists this ribosomal RNA (912 nucleotides) under Haloarcula terrestris. RNAcentral's name for it is "partial 23S ribosomal RNA". It matches the Rfam family "Archaeal large subunit ribosomal RNA", at positions 612 to 1516 of the family's 2987-position model. Lineage: Archaea; Methanobacteriati; Methanobacteriota; Halobacteria; Halobacteriales; Haloarculaceae. The record is from RNAcentral.
UCCAGUAAGACUCACGGGAAGCCGAUGUUCCGUCGUACGUUUUGAAAAACGAGCCAGGGAGUGUGUCUGUAUGGCAAGUCUAACCGGAGUAUCCGGGGAGGCACAGGGAAACCGACAUGGCCGCAGGGCUUUGCCCGAGGGCCGCCGUGUUCAAGCGCGGGGAGCCACACGGACACGACCCGAAUCCGGACGAUCUACGCAUGGACAAGAUGAAGCGUGCCGAAAGGCACGUGGAAGUCUGUUAGAGUUGGUGUCCUACAAUACCCUCUCGUGAUCUAUGUGUAGGGGUGAAAGGCCCAUCGAGUCCGGCAACAGCUGGUUCCAAUCGAAACAUGUCGAAGCAUGACCUCCGCCGAGGUAGUCUGUGAGGUAGAGCGACCGAUUGGUGUGUCCGCCUCCGAGAGGAGUCGGCACACCUGUCAAACUCCAAACUUACAGACGCUGUUUGACGCGGGGAUUCCGGUGCGCGGGGUAAGCCUGUGUACCAGGAGGGGAACAACCCAGAGAUAGGUUAAGGUCCCCAAGUGUGGAUUAAGUGUAAUCCUCUGAAGGUGGUCUCGAGCCCUAGACAGCCGGGAGGUGAGCUUAGAAGCAGCUACCCUCUAAGAAAAGCGUAACAGCUUACCGGCCGAGGUUUGAGGCGCCCAAAAUGAUCGGGACUCAAAUCCACCACCGAGACCUGUCCGUACCACUUAUACUGGUAAUCGAGUAGAUUGGCGCUCUCAUUGGGUGGAAGCAGGGAUGAGAAUUCCUGUGGACCGAUGAGUGACGAAAAUCCUGGCCAUAGUAGCAGCGAUAGUCGGGUGAGAACCCCGACGGCCUAAUGGAUAAGGGUUCCUCAGCACUGCUGAUCAGCUGAGGGUUAGCCGGUCCUAAGUCAUACCGCAACUCGACUAUGACGAAAUGGGAAAC